This 602-nucleotide ribosomal RNA is filed under the name Collaria rubens. RNAcentral's name for it is "SSU rRNA". It matches the Rfam family "Eukaryotic small subunit ribosomal RNA", at positions 5 to 561 of the family's 1831-position model. The record is from RNAcentral. Lineage: Eukaryota; Evosea; Eumycetozoa; Stemonitida; Stemonitidae.
UGGUUGAUCCUGCCAGUAGUGUAUGCUUUUCCUAAAGACUAAGCCAUGCAUGUUUUCGAAUAAGAGGAAGCAAUUCUCUCUGAAUCUGCGUACGGCUCCGCACACCAGUUGUAAACCGAAGCAAGCCAGACUGGUCUCGACGCCUCGCAAGGGGCUAGGGGCCAGUCUACAAGGAUAACCCUGGUAAUUCUGAGGCUAAUACGUGACACUAACCUGCUGACUGGGUUCGCUCGGGAGGCGGGGGAUGUGCGAUCGUCGGGCCAAACAAACCGGAAAGAGCGCACUUUCAGACCACGCAAAAAGGCUUUGAGGUCCUCCGGGACCGAGGGGCUGUGGCUCUUGCACUGUGCUUCUGACCUAUCAACUAGAUGGCAGCGUAAAGGACAUGCUUUGGUGACAACGGGUACAGAGGAUAAGGGUUCGAUCCUGGAGAGUGGGCCUGAGAGAUUGCUCAUACUUCUAAGGAAGGCAGCAGGCGCGCAACGUUCCCAUUGGACAUCGUCUGAGGGCGUUAGGGGAAAUAUUAAUACCUGCCCAUUGGGUGGGUAAUUAAAAUGGGUCUGUUCUAAACAGGCUCUCGAGUAACAAUUAGAGGACAAGUC